AACUCCAAAACCAUCCUUUGCUAUCGCCCAAGACCACCGACCUUCCACUGUCGGCACUGUUUUCCGGCAACCCGUCUUUCUUUCUCAAUCGUUUAGUUAUGGUUUGUUUCUAUUCAUCCUUACCAAGUUUUUUCUCUUAUUUAUUCUUCUUUUAAGUUGUUUCAAUGGUUGUUUUCAUUCUUAUUUUGAACAUUUUUAGUUUUGAUUUUUUUUUUCUGUGUUGUUUCAUUGAAUUAUUGUUUAUAUAUUAUGUUUAUUUGUUUUAAACACCAUGCCUAGUUGGUGAAGGAGAAGGGAUUUUUUUUUAAAAUUUUGACUUGAUUUUUUCUUUUAUUUGAGAUUGAUUUUGAUGUGGUUUCUGCACUAUAGCCUUAAAAUCUGACUUAAUUAUAAUGAAUAAAUUUUUGCAAGAAAAAAUAUAAUUAUCACGGGGAUUCAUUUUUAUAGUUCGUCCGGGCCGAACCUGUCUCAAGCAGCAUUUUUAGUAUUAUUAUUUAUGAUGUUAUUGAGUAUCUCAAGCAUUUAUAGAUUCUAGUAUAGUUAGUUGUUACUGAUAUUUAGUAAUUAGUUAUUGAAUUGAAUCAAAGUUAGAAAAACUUUAACAUGUAAUAGAUGUGAAGAGAGAAGAGAAAUAGUAUGAGAAGAAAAAAAGUUGGUAUAUAUGUGAGAAUCUAGGUCGAGCAGAAACUUGCCAAUUUCAAUUUAAUCAUUUUCAUGGACUCUUAAUCUUGAUGCAUACAUGAUCUUAAUGGACUCUUAAUCUUAAGCUGAAUCAAGUCUUACAACACCUAGAGAAGAUGGUGAGAGGAUAGAUAAUAUAUUUUGGGCUGUUUUUUCAUAUAGUAUUUGUUUUGGCAAAAUACAUCUAGUAGUCAUAGUUCUUGAAGUUUCGCAAAAAUAUCAGAUUAGUGCUUUAUUUUUUUCUGUAUCGAAUUAGUCCUUUGUGUUUGUAAAAGUUACAAUGUUAAACUAUUUUUAAUCCUAACUUCAUUUCAAUCAUUUUUAUGUAGAGAUUUUAAAAAAUCUACUUUAAGUUUUGUUAUCAAUCAUAUUAAUAAAAACAUAAUAAUUUUCCGGUGAUUUCAUGAUUCUAAAUUAAGAGAAUUCCGCGUUUAAUUUUAAAAAUUUGAAAAUGUCUCUCAGUUGAAUUAUCUCUCGUUUAAUUAUUUUUCUAUAAAUUGAUUGAAGAUUUAUGUUCUUAUGAUUAUUGCAGUCAAAAGCUCCUUAAGAAUAGCAUGAGUUUAUUGAAAAAGUUGGAAAAAAAUUGAAUUUCAUUUUAGGUGGUUUGAAAUUGGGAUCAAACAUAAAAGACAAACUUGAUGCUAAAAUAAAGAUAAACGACCACACAAUGUAUUUUACCUAUUUUAUUCAAGCUUGGAAGAAAUCCAGUCUUGUUUCAACUCUCGAUUUGGACUUUUCUUACUGCUACCAUUGAUUCAAUGCUGCUACCAUUGAUUCAAUGGAUUUGUAUUUGUUUUACAUUUUGUAUAUUUUUCUAUGCUUGGUCCAUGUUGAUAACCUUGUCUUCCAUCUAAAUUCUGAAUUUGCUUUAUUAAAAAUAAAAAAUUUAUUUUCUGAACAUUUGCCAAGUUAUUAUUGUUGUUAUUGGUGGAUAAAUCUGAAAUAGAAUUUCACGCUUCUCUGUCUCAACGGUUUAGAGCUAGACAUCUCGUAGCACGCAGUAACUGCGUAAUGCACGUGACUAUUGAGCUAGUGGAAGCUACUGGAGUAGCUGGUUCGUCCGGUUUUGGAGCAAACGGAAACCAGAUCGAAUAUUUCUUGACUGAGCUUGUUCUCCACCCGCGAGGGUUUGUGCUUGCGGUUCUUCUUCCGGUGAAGAUUGGGAUUGCGGCGGUUUCUCUGCAAAUAAAGCGGUGCCGUGUCUCAUUGACUAUUCGAGUUUGAACUAAGGUGAUGAUGUGAAACAAAACUAAGUCAUCCAACUUUCAUAUUAUCAAUUUCAAAUUAUAAAUACUCGUG
Molecule: long non-coding RNA, 1980 nt
Filed under: Cicer arietinum (chickpea)
Lineage: Eukaryota; Viridiplantae; Streptophyta; Magnoliopsida; Fabales; Fabaceae
Description: long non-coding RNA (CARI_LNC001842)
Source: RNAcentral